GAUGAACGCUGGCGGCGUGCCUAAUACAUGCAAGUCGAGCGAACAGACGAGGAGCUUGCUCCUCUGACGUUAGCGGCGGACGGGUGAGUAACACGUGGAUAACCUACCUAUAAGACUGGGAUAACUUCGGGAAACCGGAGCUAAUACCGGAUAAUAUAUUGAACCGCAUGGUUCAAUAGUGAAAGACGGUUUUGCUGUCACUUAUAGAUGGAUCCGCGCCGCAUUAGCUAGUUGGUAAGGUAACGGCUUACCAAGGCAACGAUGCGUAGCCGACCUGAGAGGGUGAUCGGCCACACUGGAACGUAGCCACGGUCCUGACGCCUACGGGAGGCCGCAGUAGGGAAUCUUCCGCAAUGGGCGAAAGCCUGACGGAGCAACGCCGCGUGAGUGAUGAAGGUCUUCGGAUCGUAAAACUCUGUUAUUAGGGAAGAACAAAUGUGUAAGUAACUAUGCACGUCUUGACGGUACCUAAUCAGAAAGCCACGGCUAACUACGUG
This 497-nucleotide ribosomal RNA is filed under the name uncultured bacterium. Its description in RNAcentral is "partial 16S ribosomal RNA". It matches the Rfam family "Bacterial small subunit ribosomal RNA", at positions 28 to 507 of the family's 1533-position model. The record is from RNAcentral.